This 250-nucleotide ribosomal RNA is filed under the name uncultured Rubellimicrobium sp. Its description in RNAcentral is "partial 16S ribosomal RNA". It matches the Rfam family "Bacterial small subunit ribosomal RNA", at positions 524 to 773 of the family's 1533-position model. The record is from RNAcentral. Lineage: Bacteria; Pseudomonadati; Pseudomonadota; Alphaproteobacteria; Rhodobacterales; Roseobacteraceae.
UACGGAGGGGGUUAGCGUUGUUCGGAAUGACUGGGCGUAAAGCGCGCGUAGGCGGAUCGCAAAGUUGGGGGUGAAAGCCCAGGGCUCAACCCUGGAAUUGCCUUCAAGACUCGCGGUCUGGAGUUCGAGAGAGGUGGGUGGAAUUCCGAGUGUAGAGGUGAAAUUCGUAGAUAUUCGGAGGAACACCAGUGGCGAAGGCGGCCCACUGGCUCGACACUGACGCUGAGGCGCGAAAGCGCGGGGAGCAAAC